This is a long non-coding RNA of Vidua chalybeata, 485 nucleotides long. RefSeq lists it as uncharacterized. NCBI's taxonomy places the organism in Eukaryota, Metazoa, Chordata, Aves, Passeriformes, Viduidae. The transcript has 3 exons. The record is from RefSeq and is a predicted model, not a curated record.
CAUAGAGCUCACUACACAGCAAUCUCUGCUGAUGUUUUGUGUGAGAAAUCUAAUUGGUUUUGCUUAUUUUAUGCUGUGAGAAUUACAGAAAAAGAACAACAGCCCACUGCUUAGUGUUUGCUGCCUCUUCCCAAGAGGCACCUAGAUUAAAUUCUUUUAGAAGCUCAAAGUAUAGUUUUAAUAACGACUUGCAGCUAAAGAAACUCCUCAGUUAGCUGCAGAGCAGUGGCUCUUUAUCAGUCCCACUCCCUCUUGCUGCUCUAGCUUUUGGCAAGAUCACUAUCUUCCUGAAGUGAUCAAAGACAAUAUUAAGUACAUACAUCAAAAUGAAAGACAUGGUGUUCAGCUGGGACUUGAAACAAAUGAAAGAUGAGGAAAUUUACAGCAAAUCCCAAAAUUGUGUUUUGGCCAGGUCUCAGUGCUACAGCUUUCUAGUUAGCAGAAUUCCUCUCCUAACAGCAAAUUUUAACAGAACUCAAGCUCCU